Molecule: ribosomal RNA, 502 nt
Filed under: uncultured bacterium
Lineage: Bacteria
Description: bacterial SSU rRNA
Rfam family: Bacterial small subunit ribosomal RNA
Source: RNAcentral
AGAGUUUGAUCCUGGCUCAGAUUGAACGCUGGCGGAAUGCUUUACACAUGCAAGUCGAGCGGCAGCGCGGGGGCAACCCUGGCGGCGAGCGGCGAACGGGUGAGUAACAUAUCGGAACGUACCCGUCGUGGGGGAUAACACAGCGAAAGCUGUGCUAAUACCGCAUACGACCUGAGGGUGAAAGCGGGGGAUCGCAAGACCUCGCGCGAUGGGAGCGGCCGAUAUCGGAUUAGCUUGUUGGUGAGGUAAAGGCUCACCAAGGCGACGAUCCGUAGCUGGUCUGAGAGGACGACCAGCCACACUGGAACUGAGACACGGUCCAGACUCCUACGGGAGGCAGCAGUGGGGAAUUUUGGACAAUGGGGCAACCCUGAUCCAGCCAUUCCGCGUGAGUGAAGAAGGCCUUCGGGUUGUAAAGCUCUUUCAGCAGGAACGAAACGGUGGCCAUUAAUACUGGCUACUAAUGACGGUACCUGAAGAAGAAGCACCGGCUAACUACGUG